GCGGGUGUGGCGAAAUUGGCAGACGCGCUAGACUUAGGAUCUAGUUCUUAUGAGUGCAGGUUCAAGUCCUGUCACCCGCACCA
RNAcentral lists this transfer RNA (83 nucleotides) under Candidatus Izemoplasmatales bacterium. RNAcentral's name for it is "tRNA-Leu". It matches the Rfam family "tRNA". Rfam says of the family: Transfer RNA (tRNA) molecules are approximately 80 nucleotides in length. Their secondary structure includes four short double-helical elements and three loops (D, anti-codon, and T loops). Further hydrogen bonds mediate the characteristic L-shaped molecular structure. tRNAs have two regions of fundamental functional importance: the anti-codon, which is responsible for specific mRNA codon recognition, and the 3' end, to which the tRNAs corresponding amino acid is attached (by aminoacyl-tRNA synthetases). tRNAs cope with the degeneracy of the genetic code in two manners: having more than one tRNA (with a specific anti-codon) for a particular amino acid; and 'wobble' base-pairing, i.e. permitting non-standard base-pairing at the 3rd anti-codon position. The record is from RNAcentral. Lineage: Bacteria; Bacillati; Mycoplasmatota; Mollicutes; Candidatus Izemoplasmatales.